AGCCAGGUCCAGCUGAUUCAGGGUGCACUGGCUCUCCAUGCUGCUGGGCAGGAAGGACUGGAAGACGUCUCCUUGGUCGCUGAACGGGAAGGCCGAGCUGGAGCUCUCCAGCGAGAACACCGAGCUCGCCGAUGGGCCGUACAUCUGCAUUCGACAGGGACAAGCGUGGGCAGGUUGCUGAAGUCGAGCGGGUUCACGGUCGCGAGCUUCAUGGAGAGGAACUGAAGCAACGGAAACAGAGGAGGAGUUGAUCAGAAUUCAGAGCGCAUCGGAUGGUUUCAGCAGGCCCACGCUCUUCUUACCUCGACUUGCCGUUGAAGCGACUGCACGUAGUUUAUGAUCUCAUCAAGCAUCAGUGCCUUGCCAAUCACCUAAAGGUCACGCACAAAAUUUGGCCAGUUUAAUUGAUAACCUUGUACACAAAGACUGUCUUCUAUAUAUUACAAAAGAAAUGUUCAUCAAGAUUAUCAUGUGCU
Molecule: long non-coding RNA, 476 nt
Organism: Triticum dicoccoides
Lineage: Eukaryota; Viridiplantae; Streptophyta; Magnoliopsida; Poales; Poaceae
Exons: 2
Source: RefSeq, a predicted model, not a curated record